This 470-nucleotide ribosomal RNA is filed under the name uncultured bacterium. RNAcentral's name for it is "bacterial SSU rRNA". It matches the Rfam family "Bacterial small subunit ribosomal RNA", at positions 28 to 507 of the family's 1533-position model. The record is from RNAcentral.
GAUGAACGCUGGCGGCGUGCUUAACACAUGCAAGUCGAACGAAGAUGCCGGAGUGCUUGCACUUUGGCAGACUGAGUGGCGGACGGGUGAGUAACGCGUGGGUAACCUGCCUUAUACAGGGGGAUAACAGUUGGAAACGACUGCUAAUACCGCAUAAGCGCACGGUAUCGCAUGAUACAGUGUGAAAAACUCCGGUGGUAUAAGAUGGACCCGCGUCUGAUUAGCUAGUUGGUGAGGUAACGGCCCACCAAGGCGACGAUCAGUAGCCGGCCUGAGAGGGUGAACGGCCACAUUGGGACUGAGACACGGCCCAAAACUCCUACGGGAGGCAGCAGUGGGGAAUAUUGCACAAUGGGGGAAACCCUGAUGCAGCGACGCCGCGUGAGUGAUGAAGUAUUUCGGUAUGUAAAACUCUAUCAGCAGGGAAGAUAAUGACGGUACCUGACUAAGAAGCACCGGCUAAAUACGUG